This is a non-coding RNA of Bactrocera oleae (olive fruit fly), 1203 nucleotides long. The record is from RefSeq and is a predicted model, not a curated record. NCBI's taxonomy places the organism in Eukaryota, Metazoa, Arthropoda, Insecta, Diptera, Tephritidae.
GAAUUUAGUUGAGUUCGCGGCGUUAACAAUUCGAUAUGACGAGAAUAGUACUUUUCGCGCUUUCCCUCUGCCUCUUCUGCAUUUACGUCUGCAAUUGUGAGGAAGUUGCACCCGGCGACACAAUACCGUUAACACCACAAAUGGGUGAAGCAAAGCAAAUCCCCGUUAUUGCACUGAGUCGCCAAAGGCGUUUCACCUGCAACAGCUAUGCCUGCAAAGCGCAUUGCAUAUUGCUCGGGAGAGGAAGUGACGGUUACUGUAAUCGCCAGCAUGUGUGCGCUUGUCGCUGAUAAGCAUUCACAGCAGCGCGUUGAGGGGCGCGUUUAUUUACUAUUUUCGCAAGUAUUUUGCACUAUUUCAUUUAAUUUAAAAUAAAAAAAAACAUUUUUAAUUUGAAAAUUAUCAACAAAAAUGGGAAAAAACGUUUUUAAUUAAUUAAUUGCUUCGAAAGUUUGCUCAUCGUUUCAACGGCCAUAAAGCGUUUCAAUGAAGCAAUGAAAGGAUAGAUGCACCGUUGUGAUGAUCAGUGCUACCGAUAACGAAUAAAUGGUUUGUAUGGUAUGUGAAUUCACACGCUCACAGCGUGAAUUAAAUAAACAGAAUUAGAAAUUGUCGAAAAAUAUAGAAAAAUUGUGCAUAAUUUAGGAAAAUCAAAAUUCUGUGACCGUGCAAUUUCUUAUGCUUUGUUGAAGAUUUUAAUAAGUGAGGCGCGUCGCCGUCGCCACCAUCUGGUCCAAUCAACUGACUUAACACCAACGAGCGACCGUUGUUGUUAACAAGUGGUCUUGUUGUAUGCAUGCAUGUAUGUAUGUAUUUUCUUCUUUUAUUGAGCACAUCAAUAACGCACACAGUUGGUGGGCGCGGCAGUUUUGGAAACAUUUCGACGCAUAUACAUUAUAUUUCGAAAGUGACUACAUUAUCUACAUUUUGAUGAUAUCUAUUAUUAUCAAUAGGAUAGGAUUUAGGAUUAUCGUAAUGAAGGAUCAGCAGUCACAAUCCAAUGUAAAAACGACUUGUUUUUUAGUGUUCAACAACAAUCUUCAUCGAGUAAUGCUUUCAGUUCCUCAGCUUCAUACUUUUUUGUCGUCCAGGACAUUCUUGGUCUUCGAAGCCAAAUCACCACUCUGAAAUAGUUCAAACCACUUUUAGCACUUUCGCUCAGCCAGAAUAUGUUUACAAUAAACUUGCACAAAAAUACGAUGA